GUUCCUGUAGCACAACAGAUAGCGCGUUGGACUUUUAAUCCAAAGGUCAUGGGUUCAAAUUCCACCUGGUAUG
Trichonephila clavipes is the source of this 73-nucleotide non-coding RNA. The record is from the annotation of a GenBank genome assembly. NCBI's taxonomy places the organism in Eukaryota, Metazoa, Arthropoda, Arachnida, Araneae, Nephilidae.